UCCCUGGUACCUCAGCUGGUAAAGAAUCCGCCUGCAAUGCGGGACACCUGGGUUCUAUCCCUGGCUUGGGAA
This 72-nucleotide transfer RNA is filed under the name Bos taurus (domestic cattle). It matches the Rfam family "tRNA". Rfam says of the family: Transfer RNA (tRNA) molecules are approximately 80 nucleotides in length. Their secondary structure includes four short double-helical elements and three loops (D, anti-codon, and T loops). Lineage: Eukaryota; Metazoa; Chordata; Mammalia; Artiodactyla; Bovidae. RNAcentral also lists the same sequence under 5 other names. The record is from Rfam by way of RNAcentral.